GGCAGCGUAGCUCAGUCGGUUAGAGCAUCGGAAUCAUAAUCCGAGUGUCCGGGGUUCGAGUCCCUGCGCUGCUACCA
RNAcentral lists this transfer RNA (77 nucleotides) under Chitinivibrionales bacterium. Its description in RNAcentral is "tRNA-Met". It matches the Rfam family "tRNA". Rfam says of the family: Transfer RNA (tRNA) molecules are approximately 80 nucleotides in length. Their secondary structure includes four short double-helical elements and three loops (D, anti-codon, and T loops). The record is from RNAcentral. Lineage: Bacteria; Pseudomonadati; Fibrobacterota; Chitinivibrionia; Chitinivibrionales.